AUUGAACGCUGGCGGCAUGCCUUACACAUGCAAGUCGAACGGCAGCGGACCUUCGGGUGCCGGCGAGUGGCGAACGGGUGAGUAAUAUAUCGGAACGUACCUUUCAGUGGGGGAUAACGUAGCGAAAGUUACGCUAAUACCGCAUAUUCUGUGAGCAGGAAAGCAGGGGAUCGCAAGACCUUGCGCUGAUUGAGCGGCCGAUAUCAGAUUAGCUAGUUGGUGAGGUAAAGGCUCACCAAGGCGACGAUCUGUAGCGGGUCUGAGAGGAUGAUCCGCCACACUGGAACUGAGGCACGGUCCAGACUCCUAC
Molecule: ribosomal RNA, 310 nt
Filed under: uncultured bacterium
Lineage: Bacteria
Description: bacterial SSU rRNA
Rfam family: Bacterial small subunit ribosomal RNA
Source: RNAcentral